This is a long non-coding RNA of Epinephelus lanceolatus (giant grouper), 586 nucleotides long. RefSeq lists it as uncharacterized. The record is from RefSeq and is a predicted model, not a curated record. Lineage: Eukaryota; Metazoa; Chordata; Actinopteri; Perciformes; Serranidae.
GUGCACGCCCGGUGGCAGCUGAUUGGAGGAAGCAGUGGGAGUGAGAGGGAGAACUGUGAAUGAAUAAGCACAGAAAGGUCUUCCUGAUUGAACUUACGCUGAGCUUCAUGUUUACUCACUUGGUGGAUAGCUCACUUGACUGGAAAAAACGCUCACAAACCCUGUCAAUCCUAUGAACUAUGUAAACCAGAAGAUCCUAGAGAGGAACAGGAUAUCCUAAAGAGGGAGAGACAGAGAGAAUAAGGUGCUGUGGCUGCCAGAUUUUGGCAUCGGAUCCAGAGGGCGGCGGCAGGCCAGAGGGGACGACUGUUUGUUUGAUGGGCACUAAAACUCAAAGGGAGGUUAUCACGCCAGUGCGCGUGCACGUGCAGUCUGAAUUUGCCGGUCUUGGUGAGGCUGAGCAUUGAUUGUUUUUCCUUUUCCCUGGCAGCAGCGUCCCAGCUGGAUAGAGGUCCCGGCGUUGGAGUCUCCGGACUGGAUUCUGCCGACCAAGCAGCCACGCUGUACGGCCCCCUCAGCUGGCACGAGGGAAAACCAGGAAACGUUUCAGAACUGGACUGGACUUUUUUAAGUAACAUUCCCUGGA